This 301-nucleotide ribosomal RNA is filed under the name uncultured bacterium. Its description in RNAcentral is "partial 16S ribosomal RNA". It matches the Rfam family "Bacterial small subunit ribosomal RNA", at positions 509 to 807 of the family's 1533-position model. The record is from RNAcentral.
CAGUCGCCGCGGUAAUACAGAGGGUGCGAGCGUUAAUCGGAUUUACUGGGCGUAAAGCGUGCGUAGGCGGCUUUUUAAGUCGGAUGUGAAAUCCCUGAGCUUAACUUAGGAAUUGCAUUCGAUACUGGGAAGCUAGAGUAUGGGAGAGGAUGGUAGAAUUCCAGGUGUAGCGGUAAAAUGCGUAGAGAUCUGGAGGAAUACCGAUGGCGAAGGCAGCCAUCUGGCCUAAUACUGACGCUGAGGUACGAAAGCAUGGGGAGCAAACAGGAUUAGAUACCCCAGUAGUCCCUGUCUCUUAUAC